ACGACACUCUGUCAUUGUACAUUUUCUAUCAAAGAAACAUAUCAAAACAAGUCAAAUAUGAGUAAAAAUGACCAACUAUGAAGAAAUAAGGACUUAGUAAAAAUAUGAGGGAAAAAGGAGCAAAAAACAUGUAGCUACUAGAAUAAUCAUGCACAACAUCAUGUGCGUGAUAUAUUUGUUUUGCCAGCAUCGUGUGCAUGAUGAAAAGGAUCACGCGAACGAUAGGUCCUUUUU
This 234-nucleotide long non-coding RNA is filed under the name Lathyrus oleraceus (garden pea). RNAcentral's name for it is "Pisum sativum (pea) long non-coding RNA (PSAT_LNC006062)". The record is from RNAcentral. Lineage: Eukaryota; Viridiplantae; Streptophyta; Magnoliopsida; Fabales; Fabaceae.